AUUUGAUUGGCUGUUUACAGACCACAUGACCGUUCAACAGAGGAUUUAGAGAUUAUCUAUGAAGAGUUACUACAUAUAAAGGCCUUAUCCCACCUGUCCACCAUGGUCAAGAGAGAGCUCGCCAGCGUUCUUAUCUUUGAAUCCCAUGCAAAGUCAGGCACAGCUUUGUUCAACCAAGGAGAUGAAGGAAAGUCCUGGUACAUUAUACUGAAGGGGUCCGUGAAUGUUGUUAUAUAUGGCAGGGGUGUUGUCUGCACGCUACACGAGGGAGACGACUUUGGGAAACUUGCCUUACUGAAUGAUUCACCAAGAGCGGCCACCAUCGUGCUUCGGGACGACAACUGUCACUUUCUGCGUGUCGAUAAAGAUGACUUUAAUAGAAUUCUAAGGGAUGUAGAGGCGAACACGGUACGGCUAAAGGAACACGGAAAGGAUGUGUUGGUACUGGAGAAGAUCCCCAUGAACAACCAAGGACCUGAUGGUACCACACAGACCCAUUAUAGGUACUCUGUGAUGGCGGGAACGCCAGAGAAGAUGUUGGAACACUUACUGGAGAGCAGUCUGGAGAGUAAGAUUGAGGAGGCUACAGAUAACUUCCUGGAGGUGUUCCUACUCACACAUGUGAUAUUUAUGCCGAGUGACCAACUGUGUCCGGCCCUCCUGGCCCAUUAUCAUGCCAAGGUCAACCGAAAGUCUGAUGAGGAGGAGUCCGCUGAUUAUGCAGUAACGCAGCGCAAGUUUGUAGUUCAGUUUGUGCAGGAGUGGUUUUGUAUCGCCCCUGACAGCUUUAAAGAAGAUGCUGCCAUCAGGGAAUUCCUACAGAAGCUGCACGAAUCCCUGAAGGCUGAUUGUCAUGAAUAUCCGUCCCUUAUACACGAACAUACAUCUCUGGAAGACAUCAUGAAAUAUGACAAAGGUCGAAUGCAAGUGGAGAAGCCGUUUAAGCGUAGGAUUUCCCCGUCCGUCAUUCUCACUCGCAGAUUCAACAAGGAGAACACGAUGGAGACACUAACCAGACGACGACCAAUCAAAGCAGAUGAUGAAAAUGUGUUUAAGGUGUUCUGUGCUGACCAUUCCUACACUACACUAUGUAUGCCUAUGGGCAGUACUGUCAAGGCCAUCAUACUACAAACCCGCGACAACCUGCGCCUUGGAAAUGACCUCGUCCUGUGUGAGGUCAAAUCGACUGGAGAACGUAUAAUAUUGAAAGACAACGACUUAUGUAUCACAACGUCUCUGAGUGUCAACGGAAAACUUUUCAUUGCACCCAGGGAACACAUUGAUGCUCUGACACCGUUACCGGAGCAGGAGGGUCCAACAGCUGGCACUGUGACCAUGUUUGAGAUGAUGAGUACAAAAGAGGUGGCCUACUACAUGACACUGUAUGACUGGGAACUCCUUAUCACUGUGGACGAAUAUGAACUCAUCUAUCAAGUGUUUGGUCGCCACACUUUUGGCAAGAUUACCUCAAAUCUGGACAUGUUCCUUCGGCACUUCAACGAAGUUCAGUUCUGGGUCAUCACAGAAAUGGUACUGGCUCAGAAUGUCAGUAAACGGGUACAGCUGCUGAGGAAAUUCAUCAAGUUGGCAGCGCACUGUAAGGAGUACCAGAACCUUAACUCAUUCUUUGCAAUUGUGAUGGGGCUGAGUAACAUUGCUGUGAGCAGGUUGUCGCAGACAUGGGAGAAGCUGCCCAGUAAGUUCAAGAAGAUGUUUGCAGAGUUUGAGACAUUAAUGGAUCCAACAAGAAAUCACCGUGUAUACCGACUGACCGUGGCUAAACUGGCUGCACCUAUCAUCCCCUUCAUGCCCCUCCUCAUGAAAGAUUUAACGUUUACCCAUGAAGGAAACAAAACAUAUUUUGAUGGAUUAGUGAAUUUUGAAAAAAUGCACAUGAUAGCCCAGACUAUGAGAACAGUACGCUUCUGUAAAAGUCAGCAAUUAGAUUUGGAAGCAUCGACCUCCUUAAAGUUAUCCUCAGAAGUGAUAGAAUACAUCAGAAAUCUUCAUGUUAUUGAUAAUCAGAGAUUACUGACACAGUUCUCCUACAAGUUGGAGCCUCGGAGGACUUGACGACACCAUCCAGGGGUCUGAAAUGAUGGGAGACAGUUACCAAGUAGUGGCCACUACUGGACAUUCCUUCGCACAUUGACCUGUGUAUCUUGUGCCAUACAGGGAAUAGCUGUCCAUUGAGCCAGGGCGUGCUCUAAGUCAGUCUGCCAUGGUGAUUCACUAAAACUUACCAGAUUAAAUGACAUUGAGGUGCUGCGAGUUAUCUGACCUUGGUGUACUGUGAAGGCGUUGUGCCAACCUCCAGUUGACAAAGAUACCAGACUUUACAAAGUCAGGAGAAGCUGGACACAAAAUGAUGCAAUUUGUGAAUUGUUGAUGACCAAGGCACAGUUGUGAAGGGUCUGGCUCCCCUGCUCCCAAAAUUAUGUCUGGAGUUUAUACAAGGAAACUUAUAAAACUACUACUACUAGGCCAAAAAAAAAUCACAAUGAAACGACUACUUGUACUUGACAAAGGCUAUGAUGAUACAAUCAGAUCCUGCUUCGUUUUAUAAAAGCCUGGUCUUAAAUCAAUGACCUCAUGGAAAGGGGAUUACUCAAUGAUAUCAAUAUUGAGUGAAUUUGAAUAAUACUAAUGGCUCUAUGAUGAAGAUUAAUGCUACCUACAUGUAGAUGUUUUUUCUGUUAAUAUUAUUACAGGAAAUAACAGAUAUUCAGACCACAGAACUAAUUUCUGUCAAGACAUCAUUGAUAAGGUGAUAAUAAUCCGCUAUAGAUUCAUGUUUGGUAUUCGCCUGGAAUUUCUUUGUUCCGCUGAAUGUUUGCUUGUUUCCUUUCACAGUGAUGUUUUGUUAUAGAAUUUUUUAUUGUUGAAAUUAAUGUGUUGUACUUCUGCAUAGAAGCAUUUUCUCAAAACAAUUGAUGAUGUUUAACUCAUUCACCCCUGAAAUUUCAUAAUGAAAUAUUCCAACCUCUGAAUUGGAGGAGUUCUAAUGUGUCUCCAGGGGUGAAUGAGUUAAAAUCAUUGGUAGAUAUUAAGUUGUUUUGUAAUUGGACUUGUAUACCAAAUAUGAAAGUCCCAGUGGCUCACAGCUACGAAAGAUUUGAGUUAAAUAUUAUAUUUAUGUUAACUUCAGUUGCUAUUAUAGAGGUUUAAUAUGUUUCCAAUAAUUUGUGUUAUUGGGAAACCUCUUUUGGUAAUUAACAUGUGAAGAAUUCACUUAUUGUGUUUUAGUCCUUGCCUAAUACAGAUAAAUAUAAUUAUGACUAACAAAGACUGGACAUAAAAGCAAUUUAUAUUUGAAAUCAAGAAACUUUUGAAAUAAUGAAUUUAAGAAAUUUGAUGAAGUAAAACAUGUCACUAAAAAAAUUAAUAUAAAUGAUGCAAGCAAAUGUGUUCUACAAUUUCCUGAUGUUGAUUUUUUUUUUUUCCUUCAAACUUUUUUGAAAAAUCAAUAUUAAAGGUUUUCUUAAUAAUGUACUUACUUUUUAGAUAUCAAAUACAUUGUGUUUUCAAAUCAAGUAUGGCAGACUAUUUUAAAUAUCUUGUAUUUUGGUUAUAGUUCUUUUACUGAAAAGUUUAUUUCGUUCUUUGAUUUUAUUAUGAUAUUUAUUGUGUAAUAUUGGUUAUUUUUUUGUAUGUGUAAUAUUUGGUUUUGUAAUGAUCCAUUUUGUUGUGUCAGAUGAUUUAGAAUUUUUCACCCCCUUGAGAGUGAGAUAGGGGAAUCUUUCCCCAAGGAUUGAGAUUCCCCAUCUCACCCCAAGGGGGUGAAUGAUUCAUUUUAUUCAUUGCUAUUUUAUGAUAAUUAUUAACUGAUUGGGCUUAAAUUUGGUUUGUAGAUGUAUUGUGGUAUUGCAAACACUACUGCAGCUUCUUUUUACUGAUAGGACAGAAUAGACGCCAUGUCCUGGCCUCUGAUUGGUGGCAUCUUAGAUAUUGACCAAUUUCUUUCAUGCAGGUAUACUAUGUUGUUACAAACAGUUACAAACAGUUAAUGUACAAACAGUUGGGUAUCAAAACAGUUGUUUCAUGCCUGAUCGGUCAAUAGUCAACGAGUCGGAGUUGUGACUCACCAGAUCAAUUGGCCGCUGAAUAGGGGAUAAAGUCAUCUACACUGUAUUAGGAUUUGCUAUAUUUAAGUUUUCUUCCUAAACAGGCUGGCUUUUACAUAUCGUUCAGUUGUCAAAAGUGUUAUUAUUUGGUGUUUUUUUCCAUGUUUUUUAUUAUCAUUAUUUGGUUGUUUUAUGUCAUUUUUUAUUCACAGGUUGAAAUUUGAUCCUAGUGUUACAGUAGAAUGAAGAUGUUUAAGACCAAUUAGAUUAUGAUAGCGUUAACAAUUUCUUGAUUUAUAAGUUGAUUUGAAAAGCAGUUUUUCUAAACUCAAUCUACCUUUGAAAGCAUUCUAAAAGAUCACAGGAAGACAUGAAGCACAAGGAAAUACUUUUCUAGAGUAAAGAAAAAUUGUACAGGUACAAGUAGUGAUAUGAUAAACUUGGAGGACAAGGGAAAUCCCUACAUUGUACGAUUUCUGUUGAGAAUUAAUAUUUCUAUCUGAUCAGAGGCAAGGAUUUCUAUAUGGUUUUUUUUCUUCAUUUUUUCCCCUUUCAGAUGCAUGGUCGGUUACUAUUAACAUCAAAGCUUGAAUAUCAAUUCUGACUAGCUCUACAUUUUGCUAUAGAUUGUUACUAUUUUGGUGCGACACAAAUCGUAUCCUACUGAAGGAACUACCUGCUGAAUGAUCAGGUCAUUAACUGAGGAGUAAGCCAUUAAACAAGAGUUAGAUUAAUGGAACUCCUAACAAAUGCGCUUUUAAAUUAACAGUGUAUGUAUGUAUAUAGUUGGAUAAAUCUACAAAGAAUCGCAGUUACAGUAUUUAAUUAUAGAUCAGUGUAAGAUCAGUGUAUGUAUCGCUGAUUAAAUAUACAAAGAAAUGCUAUUACACUGUAAGAAAGAGUGUAUGUAUAUCAAUGGAUAAAUCUACAAAGAAUCGAAGUUACAGUAUUUAAUUAUAGAUCAGUGUAAGAUCAGUGUUUAUAUCACUGAUUAAAUCUUCAAAGAAUCGCAGUUACAGUAUUUAAUUAUAGAUCAGUGUAAGAACUGUGUAUAUAUCACUGAUUAAAUCUACAAAGAAUCGCAGUUACAGUUUUUAAUUAUAGAUCAGUGUAAGAACAGUGUAUAUAUGGCUGAUUAAAUCUACAAAGAAAUGCUGUUACAUCGAAAUCGUUGUGUUUGAGUGGAAUAUAUAUAUAUGACAUAUCAAGAUUCUCAUUGUACAGUUUGUUGAUGACAGUUUUGUUGUUGAAGCGAAUUUGGAGAUAAAUGUGGCAAAAUUAA
RNAcentral lists this unclassified non-coding RNA (5346 nucleotides) under Mizuhopecten yessoensis (Yesso scallop). RNAcentral's name for it is "rap guanine nucleotide exchange factor 4-like, transcript variant X4". The record is from RNAcentral. Lineage: Eukaryota; Metazoa; Mollusca; Bivalvia; Pectinida; Pectinidae.